GACGAACGCUGGCGGCGUGCUUAACACAUGCAAGUCGAGCGGUAAGGCCCUUUCGGGGGUACGACGAGCGGCGAACGGGUGAGUAACACGUGGGUGACCUGCCCUCAGCUCUGGGAUAAGCCUGGGAAACCGGGUCUAAUACCGGAUAUGACUCCAUGACGCAUGUUGUGGGGUGGAAAGCCUUGUGCGGCUGAGGAUGGGCCCGCGGCCUAUCAGCUUGUUGGUGGGGUGAUGGCCUACCAAGGCGACGACGGGUAGCCGGCCUGAGAGGGCGACCGGCCACACUGGGACUGAGACACGGCCCAGACUCCUACGGGAGGGCAGCAGUGGGGAAUCUUGCGCAAUGGGCGAAAGCCUGACGCAGCGACGCCGCGUGAGGGAUGACGGCCUCGGU
This 394-nucleotide ribosomal RNA is filed under the name uncultured bacterium. RNAcentral describes it as "bacterial SSU rRNA". It matches the Rfam family "Bacterial small subunit ribosomal RNA", at positions 28 to 423 of the family's 1533-position model. The record is from RNAcentral.